GGCUUAGCCGAAUGGUCACGAUAUCCGCUUUGUAAGCGGAAGAUAAUGGGUUUGAUUUCCAUCUGAUCCA
RNAcentral lists this transfer RNA (70 nucleotides) under Culex quinquefasciatus (southern house mosquito). RNAcentral describes it as "tRNA-Thr". The record is from RNAcentral. Lineage: Eukaryota; Metazoa; Arthropoda; Insecta; Diptera; Culicidae.